AGGAUGAACGCUGGCGGCGUGCCUAACACAUGCAAGUCGAACGUCCUGUCUCGCAAGAGGCAGGGAGUGGCGGACGGGUGAGUACCACGUGGGUCAUCUACCGUGAGGUGAGGAAUACCGGCGAGAAAUCGCCGACAAGACCGCAUAGGCUCGAUGCAAGUCGAGCAAAGCUCUUUCGAGAGAGGGAGCGCCACACGAGGAGCCUGCGCCCGAUUAGCUAGCUGGUGGAGUAAUGGUUCACCAGGGCGACGAUCGGUAGCUGGUCUGAGAGGACGAUCAGCCACACUGGGAUUGAGAACGGCCCAGACUCCUACGGGGGGCAGCAGUGAGGAAUUUUCGCAAUGGGGGCAACCCUGAACGAGCAACGCCGCGUGCAGGAAGAAGGUUUCGGAUCGUAAACUGCUUUUCUCGGGGAAGAGAACGGACGGUACCCGAGGAAUCAGCCCCGGCUAACUACGUGCCAGCAGCCGC
RNAcentral lists this ribosomal RNA (471 nucleotides) under uncultured bacterium. RNAcentral describes it as "SSU rRNA". It matches the Rfam family "Bacterial small subunit ribosomal RNA", at positions 26 to 518 of the family's 1533-position model. The record is from RNAcentral.